AUUUAUCUAGGUUGUAACACUCCACGGAAGGUUUUCUGUGACAUGACCACCAAUGGCGGGGGAUGGACGGUAAUACAGAGAAGAUUUGACGGAUCAACAGAUUUCAACAGAGAAUGGAAAGAUUACAAGGAAGGGUUCGGGGAUCCCAGUAAAGAGUACUGGUUAGGAAAUGACGCAAUCCAUGAUCUUACUGCUGGCAAAAACCAAGAACUUUGGAUAGACUUAGAAAAAAUUCUCCGGUUCAAUGGUGUAUGCACGAUAUUCAAGUUUCUCAGUCGGAAGUGAGAUAGAAAAAUACCAACUGUCAAUUGAAGAAUUCAGUGGCAGCGCAGAUGACAUGAUGAUACAAGCUUAUAAUUUGAAUGGUUCGUAUUUUUCAACAAAGGAUCGUGAUAAUGACCAUAAUUCCUACAACUGUGCUGCCAAGUAUCACCCUGGAGGAUGGUGGUUUAACAGUUGUACACACUCAAAUCUCAACGGCGUAUACCAGACUUCUAAUAAACAAAACAGGGAGAGUUUGUUCUGGGGAAUAAAUGGUGAAAACAUGAAAUCUACUAAGAUGAUGUUAAGAUCGAAAUAAAAAAUAGGUUCGAACGAAUUGCACCGCGAUCUGUUUAAUUAUUGUCAUACAUAGAAUUUUGCAAAUUUUAAUAUCAAGUUUGUUUUAUUCAAAUAUUUACCAAAUAGAAA
This is a long non-coding RNA of Saccostrea cuccullata (small rock oyster), 690 nucleotides long. RefSeq lists it as uncharacterized. The transcript has 4 exons. NCBI's taxonomy places the organism in Eukaryota, Metazoa, Mollusca, Bivalvia, Ostreida, Ostreidae. The record is from RefSeq and is a predicted model, not a curated record.